RNAcentral lists this ribosomal RNA (468 nucleotides) under uncultured bacterium. Its description in RNAcentral is "partial 16S ribosomal RNA". It matches the Rfam family "Bacterial small subunit ribosomal RNA", at positions 28 to 507 of the family's 1533-position model. The record is from RNAcentral.
GACGAACGCUGGCGGCGUGCUUAGCACAUGCAAGUCGAACGGAAAGGCCCUGCUUUUGUGGGGUGCUCGAGUGGCGAACGGGUGAGUAACACGUGAGUAACCUGCCCUUGACUUUGGGAUAACUUCAGGAAACUGGGGCUAAUACCGGAUAGGAGCCCCUGCUGCAUGGUGGGGGUUGGAAAGUUUCGGCGGUUGGGGAUGGACUCGCGGCUUAUCAGCUUGUUGGUGGGGUAGUGGCUUACCAAGGCUGUGACGGGUAGCCGGCCUGAGAGGGUGACCGGCCACAUUGGGACUGAGGUACGGCCCAGACUCCUACAGGAGGCAGCAGCGGGAAAUAUUGCACAAUGGGCGGAAGCCUGAUGCAGCAGCGCCGCGUGCGGGAUGACGGCCUUCGGGUUGUAAACCGCUUUCGCCUGUGACGAAGCGUGAGUGACGGUAAUGGGUAAAGAAGCACCGGCUAACUACGUG